Molecule: transfer RNA, 58 nt
Filed under: Rattus norvegicus (Norway rat)
Lineage: Eukaryota; Metazoa; Chordata; Mammalia; Rodentia; Muridae
Rfam family: tRNA
About the family: Transfer RNA (tRNA) molecules are approximately 80 nucleotides in length. Their secondary structure includes four short double-helical elements and three loops (D, anti-codon, and T loops). Further hydrogen bonds mediate the characteristic L-shaped molecular structure. tRNAs have two regions of fundamental functional importance: the anti-codon, which is responsible for specific mRNA codon recognition, and the 3' end, to which the tRNAs corresponding amino acid is attached (by aminoacyl-tRNA synthetases). tRNAs cope with the degeneracy of the genetic code in two manners: having more than one tRNA (with a specific anti-codon) for a particular amino acid; and 'wobble' base-pairing, i.e. permitting non-standard base-pairing at the 3rd anti-codon position.
Source: Rfam by way of RNAcentral
UGGCUCAGUGGUGAAGAGCACUGACUGCUCUUCCAGAGGUCCUGGGUUCAAAUCCCAG